Molecule: long non-coding RNA, 1246 nt
Organism: Pistacia vera
Lineage: Eukaryota; Viridiplantae; Streptophyta; Magnoliopsida; Sapindales; Anacardiaceae
Exons: 3
Source: RefSeq, a predicted model, not a curated record
ACAAUGCCCUUCUCUCACGCACUUAUCAUCAACACACCACUUACCUUCAACAUUCACAAGGCUUUUGAUUGAGUAUUGUUCAAAUCUGAGGACGUUAAUAGCAGGAGGACUGUUACCCAAGGCACUUAAAUUCCUUCGGUUUCAAGGUUGCCCAAAGCUAGAGCUAAAAGUGGAGAGUUUUGAUAAUAAUACGUCUCUUGAACAUAUUUUUAUCAGCGGAUGUGAUCAUCUUAAAUCAGUUCCCGAAGGCCUACACACUCUACACAAUCUUAGUUCUAUAACAAUAGAAAAUUGCCCAAAUCUUGUUUCUUUCCCAAAAGAUGGGCUUCCUAACACUGAUUUAAGAGUCACUAUCAGUGGAUGUAAGAAGCUACAAGCCCUACCUAGUCACAUGCACACCCUCAAAUCUCUUCAAUCCCUAGCCUUACGGAAUAAUCCAAAAAUGGCCUUCUUUCCUGAACAAGAUAUUCCCACCAAUCUAACAUCACUUGACGUUGAUGAUCCCAACAUCUACAGCACACUUGCUGAGUGGGGCUUCCACAAACUCAUCUCUCUUAGAACACUCUGUAUUGACGGAUUCCCAAAUGCAGUGUCCUUUCCAGAGGAGGAGAAGGAAAUGAAGUUGCCAGCCUCUCUAGUUCAUGUAAAAUUACAAAAACUCACAAAAUUGAAAUACCUAUCUCCCAGGGGUUUCCAGAAUCUCACCUCUCUUGAAAACUUGGAGAUCAUUAAUUGCCCAAAUCUCACAUCCUUGCCACACCUUCCAUCUUCGCUUCUUCAACUAUAUAUUAGUGGUUGUCCAUUGCUGAAACAAAGGUGCAAAAGGGAUGAAGGACAAGAGUGGUCUAAGAUAGCCCACAUCCCUCACGUUGAGAUAGACAGCUGGUUAAGAAAAUUGGUGUCUAUUUGAUAUCAGAAACAAUGGAAAAGACUGAAUCACUUCAUACUUAGGGGCUAUUCAGGAACCAACUUGAAUGUAUCUACUCGAAUGCAUAUGCCAACAUGGAAAUGGCAGCGGUUGAUUGGAUGGUUUUUACUAUUGUUCAGCUCUGUGAAAACAGAGGCUGAUACAGAGCUCACCGCAUUGCAAAAUAAUGUAAGUUUACUAUUCAUUCAUCUUGCUAGUAACACAAUGUAAGAGGUAUCAAUUCUGUUUUAUUCCCUGUUAUUGAUAUUUCAGGCCUACAUGUUGAUCACUAAAAUAUGUCGUAGCUUGGAAUUUAAUUGUUCUUGCAUCAUUUUGAAA